UUGCGUGCACGCCCACUGGCGGAGUCUCCUUCUGUCCACCUCCACAUUCCAUCGCUGUAUUUUGAUUGAACAUCUGUGCUGUCUCCGUGUAAUGCCCUGUCAUUAGUUCAGCACACACGCACGCACAAGCACAGCCGCGAAACAAAACGAUCCACGCAAGAGCGCAUAACACAAAAACGCGAGAGAGAAGGAAAGGCACGCCUCACUGCCUCGCUCUCCCUCUCCUCCACGUCCCUUUUAUGGUAAUCCGACUUGCGUUCGUUUCUCUCUCAUACACAUUAAAGCCCCGUUGUGUAUGACGUCUUGUUUGGAUCAGUACGAAAGAGCAACGCACGCUUUUGUUUGGUGUGUGUGUGUGUAUGCGUGUGUUCUUUUGUUUUUACAUCCCCCCUCUCCCUCUCCCUCCCUCCUCUUCAGACACAUACAUACACAUAUACGGCCCCUCCCGCGGCCCAUUCCUCUCUCGUCCUCGGCCGCUCUUGCCCGUCUCUCUCCCUCUCUGUGUAUCUCUUAGGUUUGCCUUUUUCUUCUCUCUGAGUGUUUGUGCGUCGCGGUAGAAGCUCCCCGGUUGAUAGCGGCCUUCUGCUCCCCUCUCCCUCUCCUUUUCGCUCUGAACUGUUACCGGGAGCGCGGAAGCUCACACACGCACACACACACACGCAAGCGACGAUAUUUUUCCUUCUCCCCUCCAUCCAAAACACAGCACCGUGGAGGAAAAUUGAGUUGGCGUGUUCUACUCACUGAACUGCGCGCUGGAAAGUCUCACUGCAGCGGGUCUCGGCACAAUGAACGACAUCCGGUUUCCGGGCUGGAUCAAGAGCAGCCCGACUCUCGUGAUGGCAUCGGUGCUUGCGCAGCUCCUGACGGAUGAGUGCGCCGAGGCAACCUCAUCUGCAACAGCUGGUGCGCCGCGGCCUCCGUCCGAGGCGUGCGUGCCUGAUGGCAGGGAGCGGUGGCCCCGCCACAACUUUGGCGAGGACAUCAGUAGCAGCAGCAGUGACGGCGGCGGAGGGGUUGAUCUAUCCGAUUCGGAUGCCAGCGAAUGUGAGGUCUGUUAUGAUCCUGACCGUGAUGCAAUGCACGGCGGUGGUGGGGUAGACACAGGUUACCUACGCAUGGUGGAUCGGUUGCUGGAGCUCAACUCGAAGGAGCUUGACUCUCUCCCGCCCGCGGCGGCCACCGCUGCCGCGACAACGUAUUUGCCCCCGAAGGCCGUCACUGCUCCUGCGACCGCCAUGCAAACGGCUAUCGCGGGGUCCUGGCCCCGUGGCAGCGGCGUCCUCUUUACUAGGCAGAACGGCGGGGUCAGCAUGAGCAACCUCGGUGCCAGCCCUGAUAUUCUCCGCAAUCCACGAGUGCGAACACUUCUGCGGCUCUCGCGGCUCAACGAUGUUCUCACGCGCGCUGAGGCGGCGCAGCCACUCAUCUCGCGGCGUACCGCGGCUGCUAUGGUGUCCUUCUUCGCCUUUGCCGUGUCGUGCCGAUACAGCGGGCUCCCCGUGGAUCGCACAAAAGGGUUCUUCACAGAGUGCAGUGCCCUCUACACAACCCUGCUUUCGAAGCUGCGCUCGCUCCGCUUCGGCGGCGGUGUCAGUCUCGAGGACUUCACCGCUUCGCUCGUGGCAUGUGGACUGAAGUUGCGCUGUGAUGAGGAUGUCGAAGGGGACGAGAAGGACGGGCACGGCGGCAUGAACGAGGCUGGCGUGACCGGCGCGGGGACAGCGGGCAUCCCGUGCAGCGGCCGCAGCAACAGCAGCAGCGCUGCAGCGUCUGGCGCAGCGCCAAUGGGGAGCUGCGGCGGUGCCGGUGUCAGAACGCCGACGCAGCCGUCUUUUGGACGUGACAAGAACUAUGGCCUUGUCGGUUUUGGCCACCGCGCCCUCGACGCCAUCUUCGUGCGCUGUAUCCCGAACAACAUCGACGAAUGCGUGCACGAUCCUGUCGCGCUCGGUGUGUUACGCGGCAUCUCACUCACGCACUCGCAGCAGCUCUUCUACCUAGGCCCGGAGCUCGUGAACCACUUGCACGACCUCACCGAUGCCUUCGCCACAUCUAGUCACCGGCGCGAGCUGUCGUACAAGCGCGUCCUCUCCGUCUUGCUUGAGGCCAUCAGCUGCUCUCGCGUCAUCGACUACGAGCGCACGAACAACUGGAUCACGGCUGUUAUUCAGGAAAGAUACGUCGUGCGCGGCUUGUUCCAGCGAGAGGAGCUGCACGCCCACGUUGUGACCGCCACUCUGACGAUGCUUAUCCGGCAGUAUCAGGAGAUGGCGAAGGAGUGCGCAUCCAAAGUGGUCGACCUCGGCUCGAUGCCGGACUUCACAGAGGGCGAUCAGCUUAUUGAGCUUGUCUGGAAGGCCCUGCAAGACACCAUCGGGUCCUGGGAGGACGCCGUAACCACCGCUGAGAAGCACCCUCUGACGUUGUUUCGGCACAACAUUGACAUGGUGGUGCAGCAUCUACUCCGGACUGAGGUGGAGCGGCUGCGGUGCUACUACAUCAUUACGAGCGCCACGGCCGCCUACCACCAGUCGCUCGUCGGGAUGUCAGCGGGAACGCGCACGACCAGAAACCAAAGUGGCUGCCCUCCCGCAGUGCCACAACUCGCGCCGGGACGGGAGGAACAGCGGGGGGCGAGUCAACGUGGGCGAGACACCCUUCGCGGACAGGAGGGUAACACACGGCGCGACAGCGAUGCGCCGGCGGCGGCCCCCUAUGUUCCAUCCGCGGAAGAGGAGUCACUGCGCAUUUUGAUUUGCAGCAACAUCAUCAAGCUCCUCCUGCUCCCCACUAGCAUCAUGAACGCGCUUCCGAGGACGGAGGAAGCGAAGCAGCUGCGUGCGUCACUCACAGAGGCGGCGGCGCGCGUGCUGAGCGUCGUGACGGCAAAGGAGUUCAAGAGCCGCGACGACACCUCUGUAAUGAAAGCGGCGAGCGGCCGCGCCACCACCUCCGCAGCACCGCGCUCCAUCAGUCCGAUUAGCGCGGCGGCAGCGAUGCCGAGGAUACGGCGCACCGACGCUGCCGCUGCCGGCACCGAUCUGUUUGUUAUAUCGCAGAGGCGAGCACACUUUUCCAACAACUUCUACCGCUGCAUCGAGGAGCUCAUACACGAGCUUAUCCACACAAUUCUCCAGCAAAGCGUGCCGGACGACGCGACAGCCGUCGCCAACCGAAGCUUUCUCGGGGGCGUGCCAGAUGUGCAUCCGCCGACGCCGCCCACCUCGGAUGCGAGCAGCGACGCGAUCUUGCGUGGCAUGGUGGCGGCUGUGUGCAUUCAAUACAUGUGCUCCACAAACCAACAUCUUCGCUCGUUUGCCAUUUCAGAGGUGAUGGACGCCGUCGUGCGCCUCUCUGCUCGCUGUGGCGCUGAGGAAGCGGCGACGGCCACGCACGGGUCUCUGGGACGUAAGGGCAGCAGCCACACAGCGCGCACCAGCGGCAACAACAGCAAUGGGAGUCCUGCAGCAGCUCCACAGGGAACCGUCGUCGGUGCCGCUGCCGCAGACCCGGAAGAGGAGCGGAAGCAUGCAACGCACCUUCGCGCUCGCCAGCUGGCGCUGUGUUUCGACGCCCUGUCCGCGAUCCUGGUGCCGACUGUCGUUGUGGAAGGCUACCACCACGUGGCGGAGGAGCAGGAGGAGAGAGCCGGCCUCGCGCGGAGCUGCACAACGACGAGCGCACGUGGUGACUCCAAGCGCGAGGAACUGUCGCGCUACGGGCAGCUGUUGUGCGACACCUACGUGGACUCACUGCGCGAGCAUCUCUGGAGCCUCGGGGAGGGGAGCGUGAGUCGCCACAAGCUGCUCACGCCGGUGAUGACUGUGGCUGUCAAGGCGUUUGUGAAUUUGGUGCUUCGGGUGCAUGAGCGGCUGCGCGGGAUGUCGAGCAUGGCGCUCGCGCUGGUGCAGGAAGCGGAGGCGGCGAUGGAGGGACCAGACAAGGGGACUCGGCGGUCUGCGGCGGUAAUCGCGAGGGAUCGCGCGCGACUGCUGCACGCCUUCAACGCGGAGCGCAUGAGCGUUGUGCUGCUCCUGCGUGGUGUCAUCCAGAACAUGCUCAGCGUGGCGUGGCCGUCGUCAGGGGUGUUGUACCAGGACCCGGCAUGCGGCUGGGAGAGGCCCCUGAACAAGACGACGUCCGCUGUGAUGGCGCCGCUAGCGCUGGCGGUUCUGUCGCCGUUCUUUCGGCCCUUAACGAUGCUGCUCCACCUCUCCACUCUGUUUCCGGUCCGAUCACUAAAGCAGCUCUGCACGCACUAUCAAUACGCGCGCUACCUCACCCUCGAGGACCCCAGCACGAGCGAUCAAUACAUGUUUUAUUACUACCGCCGCCUAUCGCGCGCGCUCGUGGCGGCCCAGGCGGACGACAGCGGCGGCUCGGGAGCUGGCCCUGCGGAGCAGGUAGAGCUUGAGUGCUGGGCGCUGUUUCGCUCAUGUUGGAUGAUGUUCUCCUACUACAAGUAUACUGCAGAGGCCCUUAUGGCGGUGAGGGCUGGGGGCAUGGCGCCUAUGGAGAGCGCGAACCCAGCUGCAGCCGCGGCCGCGCUUGCCCGCGCGCCGAUCUUGUCGACGAAGCAGUGCAAGCUACUGCGCCUCAUCGCCGCUUCGGCGGCACCACUCCUGCGCAUGUGCUCGUCCGACGUUCAGCAGGCCAUGGCGGACAUCGCCGUGCUCCUGCGCUACACACUGGCCGGCGCGCUUCACUGCCCCAUGGUGGUCGCUGACGUCACCGCAAGGAGCGGUAUCGUGCACGCGUCACUGUACAAGUCGCUGAAGCGGCUCUGCGGCGGCAGGAAGGAGUGCUGGAAGCGGCUGAGCAUGGGGGAGUUAAUGCUUCUUCAGUGCGUGGCGGAGCUAGAGAUCCUGCGAGCGGCGGCGGGGUCAGUGGCGCAGCUGACGCUCUACCGUCACUUUGAGGUGCGUGAGUUUGUCGCGAGCGCUGCAAUACCGGAAGCGCUAGGCCACAUCCUGAGCACAGCGUGCGACCACUACAUCGAAGCGGUGCGCAGCAUGCUGCCGGGUGUCGCCUUCCAGGUCACUCGUACUGACCUGAUGCAGCUCGUCUUUCUGGUGGGCUUCGCGAUUGGGUCGGUACGCGAGUCGGCGAGCAAGCUGGUGCUGUGCGUGGUGAGGUCGUUUCCCACCUACGCCGCCUAUGCCAGCGCGUUGCCGCUCCUGUGGUGCAUGCUGGACCUCCUCGAAGCCGGCACAGCCGGGCAGAUCGAGUCGCUCUGCGAGCAUGUUCGUUUUUCGACUGUCCCUGCGGUGGCCGCCGACCCGCACAGCGUGGAGCGCCAGCAGCACGUACUGUUCGUCGCGGAUGUCGCGGAGCGGUGGGCUGCCAUACUGCAGGACAAGGCACCGAUAGCCCUCUUUGAAACAGCCAUCAAGUUCAUGGUCAUCCAGCAGCAAGAGUGCGGGGAGCAGGCAACGACGCAGGCUGGCAGGCACCACGCUGGAUCCCGACUUGCCGUCCUGGCUUCCCUGUACCGGGUUGAGGAGACACCACCCAAUUUGGACGACAGUGCCAUCACUGUCAUGCGUGGGGCUGGGGCGGCUGGUCAUGUCGUGAAAACUGAAUACGCGCAGACGCUGCUGCUGCAUGGCCGCGCGCAGGGUGCGAUGCAAGCUUCCAGCUGGUACGCGUCCGCUGGGCAAAUGCAAAGCACCGUCGUGGCGCAGCUGUGGGCAGCCACGCGCCUCUGCCGACGUGCCUUGGCGUCGGCGGUGGCGCAGCGGCUCGAGUCAAAUCUCCUGCGGCCUGCCCGGGCCCUUUUCGUGGAGACUGGCUACUCCGUGGGCACGGUGCUGGCGCCUCGCGCUUCCACCGUCGCCGACGAGGAUGCUGCGGCGCAAGAGAUGGGCGUGACGCGGGUGCCGCUCGGCGCCCCAGCCCGCGCGGAGACGGCCGCGAGCUUCGCAGCCGCCGUGGCGCUGCUCGUCACGGGCAGCGGCACCCCCAUCGGGCGGCGGCAGCUGUUGCAGUACCUGGUGCAAGGCGCCGUGCAAACGUUCCGCUCCGAUGUGCUGUACGAAGCCAUCCUGUGCUGGAAGUGGCUGCUGAGCCAGAACCGUGAGGCUUACCUGCUGCCGAUGCUGCAGGAGCUGGACACGGCUUUCGUAUGGACGGCGGCCAAUCGGCUAGGGCUGUUUGACGGCUACUGCUCCUCCAAGAACCGGCAGGUGCAGACAGGCGACGUGCCGAUCCCCCACAACACCGUCUCUGCGAGGGGGCAGAGAGGAGCCCGUGUGCCCGAGGAAGCUGCUGUGUACGUGGCUGACAACGUUGACAGCGCCUCCCCGCACAAGCUGCUCCUCUCCUUUCUCGCGGAUAUGUACGUGGAGGAGGGCAGCCCGCUGUGCCUCAGCCCCGAGGUGCUUCGCCAACUGUACCUUGUCGCGGCGCACAUUAUGCAGUUCGCCGCGGUGCUGUCUCUGCGAGACGACAUGUUUGGCGAGACGAUGCGCUGCUUUCUCGUGGUGGGCAGCAUCGCGCAGCUGCUUAGGGAGGCCAACGUGCGCCAGCUGCGCGCUGGCCUCUUGACGUUAGUGCCCUUUCCCGCAAUUGGUGCGCUGCGCCAGCGGUGGUACAAGGCGCUGCUGCGGUGGUUCACCAAGACACCGCCGAGUUGGUACUACGCCAAGGAUCCGGUGCUGGCCAGAGAGGAGGCGAAGGUGGUGAGCUCGCUGUCGCAGCUGAUAAAGGAGGAGGCUGACCUGCUCACCCGCACAACUCUCGGUUUCCUCGACUUCAGCAGUGGUGUUCAACGCGAGCGGGACAUGCCACAUGUACAUCACUGGGAGUCGCUAAGCGUCGUGCGCGAGGCCGUGGCUGCGGUGCGGCAGGCGACCGACGGUGGCGAGGCAGGCUUGCCGAAGCUGAUCGUGCGAGAGAAACUGAGGCUUCAGGGGUUGCUGCAUCUGCUGCGCGUCCUGGUGGAGCACGAGGUGCUGCGGCUAAGUGUCUGGCGCACGCCGCGCCGCACGCUCAAGAUACCCAACACGACGCCUUCCGUUGGCUGGGGAAAGCUAAUCGAGUGCGCCGAUCACCACAACCCGGAGGUUGUUGUCGCCAUGGUCUACCGCUUCUCGAGCAUCCCAGCCGUGCGGUUGGCGGCGUCGCAGCGUGUCGUGGCACAUCCGGAGCGGUACUCGAACGUUGCGGAGGCGGUGGACCUCUACCUCACGGAGGACGUGCUGCGCGCUGGUGCACCGCGGCUGUUUCUCUUCUGCUCCUGCACCAUCAUCCAAGCCCUCCGCCUGCUUGACCCACGCUACGCCGCGUACAAGACCGUCAAUAGCUACGCCAUCCGCAGCCUGCUCUCACAGCGCAGCGAGAAGCUCAUCUUCUACCUGCCGCAGCUGCUGCAGCUCUUAGCGACGGACGAGAGCGGCAGCAUCGAGGCCUUCCUCGUGCGCACGAGUGCAAGGAGCACCAUGUUCGCGCACCAGUUGCUCUGGAGUCUGCAAACCGAGAGCGAGGGCAGCGGUGCCCUAGCGAAAAAGUGCCAGCAGGUGGAGAGGCGCAUCAAGGCAGCAUUCACGCCGAAUGAAGAGGCCUUCUACAGGUCCGAGUUCGCUUUUGUGGACCUCAUGACAUCGCUAUCGGGGGAGAUCAUGAAGUUCGACAAGCCCGAGCGCAAGGCGCAACUGCGGCUGAGGUUGAAGGACGACGUCUUCCAUGCCCUGCCCAAGUUGCGGCACCUUUACCUCCCCACGGAUCCGAACUACCGGAUCACCGACGUCAUCCCGCACACGGCUGGGGCCAUGCAGAGCGCUGCCAAGUGCCCGAUCCUGGUGCAGUUCACGUGCGUCCCGCGUACAGCGGAGGACGCGCUGACGCCAGACGACGUCGACUCGGCGGCUGCCGACGAGCACGGGCACGGUGCGGGGAACAGCCACAGCGACCCUGUGUCGCGCCCGGUCGUGAAGGCGUGCAUUUUUAAGAUGGGUGACGACUGCCGACAGGACCAGAUCUCGCUGCAGCUCAUCGGCCUCAUACAGCGCAUCCUGAACUCCGUUGGCGUGCCGUCCUUUCUCUACCCAUACCGCGUCAUCACCACCGGGCAGAGCAGCGGCAUCAUCGAAUGUGUGCCUCGGUCAAGAAGUCGCAAUGAGAUCGGCAAGCUCGUCGAGUCGAACGUCGCGGAGUUUUUCGUGCAGACAUUUGGCCAUCCCGAGUCCGCUGGCUUCCGCCGCGCUCGCGAAAACUUCGUGAGGAGCACGGCCGCGUACUCGGUCGUCUCCUUCAUCCUCAACAUCAAGGACCGCCACAACGGCAACAUCAUGAUCGACGCCGACGGCAACCUCGUCCACAUCGAUUUCGGCUUCCUGUUCGACACCUCGCCGGGCGGCGACAUUAACUUCGAGUCUUCGCCGUUCAAGCUGACGACGGAGAUGGUGCAGCUCAUCGGCAUGGACGUCAGUGGCGAAUCGACGCUGCAGAGCAAGACCCUUGCCCGCGCUCUUGUGGACGAGGAAAACUACAUCUACUUCAAGACCCUCGUGAACCGCUGCUACCUCGCCGUGCGGCAGUAUGCGCGUGAGAUAUGCGUGAUGGUGGAGCUCAUGCUUCGCAGCGGAUUGCCGUGUUUUAAGCCGAAGAAGACAAUCGCCGACCUCGCGCAGCGGCUGGCCGUCGACAAGAACGAAAUUGAGGCUGCUGACUAUAUGCGUCGCCUCAUCCACGAGUCGCGGCAGAACUUCACAACCGUCCUCUACGACUACUACCAAAAGGUUGCCGAGGGUAUUGAAAUGUGAGGGUGUCGCAGCUGUGCACUCGUGCUUGUGUGCCACGCCUUCGCUCCACAACCCUCUUAACGCAGCGUAGCGCUCGUGGUGAUGCCGCUUUCUUCGCCCCCGCCCGUCCCCCUUCACCAUUUUUUUUUGUGUUACACCCCGUGGCUGCGUUCAAGGAAGACGUCGGCGACCGCACCGUCGCAUGUCAAGGGGGAGCGCCCGCUCAAUUUUUCUUCUUCGCCGCGUGACCGUUUCUUUGCCAUGCGACACGACUUCAGCUUCCCUCUAGCCAGCCUGUCACGAGCCCCAUCCUCGUAGUGUGAAGCGGCAGCCGACACGCGCGUUACGGCAAUGCGCCGACUCCGCCACCUCAGCGCGGCCCCCUGCCUCUAACGCUGGCCGCCCACCCGCCUCGCAGGUCGCCUCACAGCCGCCUCCACCGUGCUGGCCGCCCCCCUGGCGCAUCCCCUCCUCGGGGUGGCUCCGGCUCCCUUCACCAGCAAGGGCAGUGAGGGCCGGGCGAGACACACGCUCAAACCACGCCGACACUCUGCCUAAUGCACCGAUGGCGCAAACAUAUUCACUGUCGCAGGUCGCUCCGACGCAACGAGACCCAGGAGCUGACCGCUAACGUCCGCAGCGAUGCAUCGCUCUGACCUGCUCCCCCCCCCCUCGUCGUAGGUGCCUUACCAUUUCACCACCGGAAGCGGUUCAGCAUGCGGCAGGGAUGAGGGGGCUUGCUUAGCUUCCCCACACACAGAGUGGGGGUACGGGACGCUGGGAUACCACGCGCUGAGGGGUGUGUCCCGCCCCCUCCACCCCCCCCCCGCCCGUCAUGUGGGUAUAUUCAUCUGGUGUCGAAGCCAAGAACCUGCAACCUGCUCCCUGCUGGUGGUUUCGGCGAAGGGGUCUAUGCUCGCGCUCUAUCGCAGAGAAACGCGGUCAUAAUCAUGUCCUGUACUAACUCACUGCGCAUCGUGUCGGGGAUCCACCAACAG
This 9739-nucleotide unclassified non-coding RNA is filed under the name Leishmania donovani. RNAcentral's name for it is "gene:LdHU3.29.2260(CDS-product:phosphatidylinosit ol_4-kinase_alpha_putative)". Lineage: Eukaryota; Euglenozoa; Kinetoplastea; Trypanosomatida; Trypanosomatidae. The record is from RNAcentral.